Molecule: ribosomal RNA, 460 nt
Filed under: uncultured bacterium
Lineage: Bacteria
Description: partial 16S ribosomal RNA
Rfam family: Bacterial small subunit ribosomal RNA
Source: RNAcentral
CCUACGGGAGGCUGCAGUGAGGAAUAUUGGUCAAUGGACGAGAGUCUGAACCAGCCAAGUAGCGUGAAGGAUGACUGCCCUAUGGGUUGUAAACUUCUUUUAUAUGGGAAUAAAAUGUUCCACGUGUGGGUUUUUGUAUGUACCUUAUGAAUAAGGAUCGGCUAACUCCUUGCCAGCAGCCGCGGUAAUACGGAGGAUCCGAGCGUUAUCCGGAUUUAGUGGGUUUAAAGGGAGCGUAGGUGGGUUGUUAAGUCAGUUGUGAAAGUUUGCGGCUCAACCGUAAAAUUGCAGUUGAUACUGGCAGUCUUGAGUACAGUAGAGGUGGGCGGAAUUCGUGGUGUAGCGGUGAAAUGCAUAGAGAUCACGAAGAACACCGAUUGCGAAGGCAGCUCACUGGACUGCAACUGACACUGAGGCUCGAAAGUGUGGGUAUCAAACAGGAUUAGAUACCCUAGUAGUC